UGCUCGCUGCCCUGAGCCGAGAGCUAAGCAUCUCUGCUCUAGGGACUGUCUGCCACAGCUGUGUGCAAGGCUAAAAUUGGUGCAGUGCUGCAUGAGUUGUUAGCUGUGGGUGGUGAGUGCUUCCUUGCCUGCCCUCUAGCAAGUUGCCACCAUUUUAGUACAAGUUCAGGGCUUCCUGUAACAGGAGACAAUAACCCUGGGGAGGGGAGGAGAACCAGAGAAGCAGCAAACCUGCGGUGUUAGGUCUGUCUGAAAGCCAGUAAGGCACCAUGGGCUGUUAGUGAUUUUGAUACGCUGCCUGGGGCUCACUGCUUAAAGAAAACGGCGGUGUUUGCCCAAGUGGUGAUCUGUUGAGGCAGUGUCUGAGAAGUCCUGGCUGACUUCUAUUGCAGACUGGGGCACAGAGGAAGGUCUGAGGAACAGCUGAGAAAGCAAACAACCAGACGAAGGAUUCACAUGAGGUCAGUGCUGGCAGACUGACCGAGCCAAAGCAGUUGGUUUUUGCUUGUCUUACAUAAAAAAUGAUCUUUUGCCUGGAAACACAGUGCAAGGCUGAAGGAUGCAGUGCAGGAUAAGGGCUAGUUCACCUGGCACGCUGCUGCUGAUUUGUGAUGCUUUGCUCUCUACUUGCCUUUGGAUUCUGGCGAUGUGAUAUAGAUGAGAUCUCUGUAAACAAAUGCAUUUCCAGGGUUCACAUGAUGACAAAGUGAUUUGGCCACAUCCUUAGUCAGAUGAUGAGAAUUAAUUGUGCAUUCUGUGCCUUUACAAAUAAAGGCACAGAUUAGGAAAACAUAUGCCUAUCAAUUAGUUAAAUUGCUAGGCUCAUUAUUCAUUUACAUGGCAUUUCUAGGGCUUAAAAUGUGACUAAUGCUUUAAUGCAGAGUCUUCUUGAAGGCAUCCAAUGUAGUUGGAGGAGAAAAUGCCCUAAAGGCCUGCAUAUAAUGUAGGUAUGAGCUGUCUGCACCUCCCCAAACCAAGAACAUCCUCCCUUUUAUAUUUUUAUAUAUAUAUUUGUGUGUGUGUGACUUAUUUAAGGGAAUAACACUUAUUUCUAACAUGGGCUGGUUAGAAACCAAAUCCCAGCCCCAUCCGUUGGCUCCUUCAACAGAAGAACUCAAUGUGUUUCAAAUCAUGAGCGAGCACCGUCACAGCCUGCUGCCGGAUCUCAUUGAUCACUGGAACAACGAUAGCUCUGGAGUGCCAUCUGCUAUGAACAGGGCAUAGGGAGGCAAAGCUGGCUUGGUUUGGCUCCAUGCGUCUCCUGAACGCCCGCACGCUUCGCAGGCAGAGCUGCCGGAUCUUCAUCUGUGCAUCCCAGCCAGAGCUUCCCAGGUAAGCCGGCCUCAGCCAGAGAGGUGCCUUCAGCAGCACAGCACCUCCUCGUGUUCGCUGAGGAGAGCUGCCGGGACUGCAUCGCUGUCCUUCUCUAUGCUGGUCCUUUUAAGUGUAACAGGAGAGAUUUCCAGCAACUUUCGGUAGGGUAGCAGAAAACAAAUAUGGAAUUGGGCUUAAAAAACAGAUGUGGGAGCAUACUGACCGUGCUCUAAACAACAGCUUCUCUAAGUCUGAGCUGUGUGGUUUUAUUGCUUGUUUGAACGUGGCUGUGAAAUAAGAACAGCCUUCAGAAUCGGGCUUAUUGAAAACUUAUAAGGCAAUAAACACAUUACAUGAAAACUUGCAUAGCAGUCUGUGGAUUUCACAGCCCCAAGCAGGUAACAGUGGGGGAGAACUGCACCAGUGUAGGAAGAGUAGGGCAGAGGUGCUGGACAGCCUGUGCUCAACUUACACUGUUCGUCAUUCAGUGAGGACUGAAGUCGAGUUGUAAACAGCAUUCUGUACUUAGAGCACAUGAGGAGCAGCACGGUGUCUUCCAGCAGGAUUUAUGGCCUUCCACGGCCUUUUUCAGUGGAUGGAAAGUAAUUCCUGGCUUCUGAGCUCUUUAAAAGCUUUCAGGACACCCUAUAAAACCUGAGCAAAGCACAAAGAAAAUCUCCCCCCAGUUGCUGGUGUGGAAUGAAAGCUGCCAAGUGGGAAAGCGAGGCCUUAAUGCAGCUUUUAUCAAAUUUUAAAGACUGCUUAAAAACUGCUUGUGUUAAGAAUGUAUUUAUUCCUUCAUUAUUUACAGACCUUUUGUUUCCACGUUUAGACAAGUUUAUGGUUC
Gallus gallus (chicken) is the source of this 2161-nucleotide long non-coding RNA. NCBI's taxonomy places the organism in Eukaryota, Metazoa, Chordata, Aves, Galliformes, Phasianidae. The record is from Ensembl.